This 891-nucleotide ribosomal RNA is filed under the name Microbacterium sp. EGI 80043. RNAcentral describes it as "bacterial SSU rRNA". It matches the Rfam family "Bacterial small subunit ribosomal RNA", at positions 79 to 982 of the family's 1533-position model. The record is from RNAcentral. Lineage: Bacteria; Bacillati; Actinomycetota; Actinomycetes; Micrococcales; Microbacteriaceae.
CUUGCUGGGUGGAUCAGUGGCGAACGGGUGAGUAACACGUGAGCAACCUGCCCCUGACUCUGGGAUAAGCGCUGGAAACGGCGUCUAAUACUGGAUACGAGUAGCGGCCGCAUGGUCAGUUACUGGAAAGAAUUUUGGUUGGGGAUGGGCUCGCGGCCUAUCAGCUUGUUGGUGAGGUAAUGGCUCACCAAGGCGUCGACGGGUAGCCGGCCUGAGAGGGUGACCGGCCACACUGGGACUGAGACACGGCCCAGACUCCUACGGGAGGCAGCAGUGGGGAAUAUUGCACAAUGGGCGGAAGCCUGAUGCAGCAACGCCGCGUGAGGGAUGACGGCCUUCGGGUUGUAAACCUCUUUUAGCAGGGAAGAAGCGGAAGUGACGGUACCUGCAGAAAAAGCGCCGGCUAACUACGUGCCAGCAGCCGCGGUAAUACGUAGGGCGCAAGCGUUAUCCGGAAUUAUUGGGCGUAAAGAGCUCGUAGGCGGUUUGUCGCGUCUGCUGUGAAAUCCCGAGGCUCAACCUCGGGCCUGCAGUGGGUACGGGCAGACUAGAGUGCGGUAGGGGAGAUUGGAAUUCCUGGUGUAGCGGUGGAAUGCGCAGAUAUCAGGAGGAACACCGAUGGCGAAGGCAGAUCUCUGGGCCGUAACUGACGCUGAGGAGCGAAAGGGUGGGGAGCAAACAGGCUUAGAUACCCUGGUAGUCCACCCCGUAAACGUUGGGAACUAGUUGUGGGGUCCAUUCCACGGAUUCCGUGACGCAGCUAACGCAUUAAGUUCCCCGCCUGGGGAGUACGGCCGCAAGGCUAAAACUCAAAGGAAUUGACGGGGACCCGCACAAGCGGCGGAGCAUGCGGAUUAAUUCGAUGCAACGCGAAGAACCUUACCAAGGCUU